GGCAGUGUGGUGUAGUGGUAAACAAGCUGUCCCCAAAACCCAGAGGUUGUGUGUUCAAUUCCCUGAUGCUA
Non-coding RNA from Megalops atlanticus (tarpon), 71 nucleotides. Lineage: Eukaryota; Metazoa; Chordata; Actinopteri; Elopiformes; Megalopidae. The record is from the annotation of a GenBank genome assembly.